AGAGUUUGAUCCUGGCUCAGGACGAACGCUGGCGGCGUGCCUAACACAUGCAAGUCGAGCGGAGAUGCUUGAAUAGUUUACUAGGAAAGCAUCUUAGCGGCGGACGAGUGAGUAACGCGUGGGCAACCUGCCCUACAGAGGGGGAUAACAGUGCGAAAGUACUGCUAAUACCGCAUGAUAUUGUCGGAUUGCAUGAUCUG
This 200-nucleotide ribosomal RNA is filed under the name uncultured bacterium. RNAcentral describes it as "partial 16S ribosomal RNA". It matches the Rfam family "Bacterial small subunit ribosomal RNA", at positions 8 to 197 of the family's 1533-position model. The record is from RNAcentral.